GUGGUGGCUCAGUGGUAGAGCGCUUGUCUCGUCAAAUGUGAGGCACUGGGUUCAAUCCUCAGCACCACA
RNAcentral lists this transfer RNA (69 nucleotides) under Marmota monax (woodchuck). Its description in RNAcentral is "tRNA.Undet". The record is from RNAcentral. Lineage: Eukaryota; Metazoa; Chordata; Mammalia; Rodentia; Sciuridae.